RNAcentral lists this ribosomal RNA (520 nucleotides) under uncultured Paraglomus. RNAcentral describes it as "SSU rRNA". It matches the Rfam family "Eukaryotic small subunit ribosomal RNA", at positions 569 to 1092 of the family's 1831-position model. Lineage: Eukaryota; Fungi; Glomeromycota; Glomeromycetes; Paraglomerales; Paraglomeraceae. The record is from RNAcentral.
AGCAGCCGCGGUAAUUCCAGCUCCAAUAGCGUAUAUUAAAGUUGUUGCAGUUAAAAGCUCGUAGUUGAAUUUCAGGCCUGGCUGGAUGGUCCGCCUUCCGGGUGAGCACUGUCUGUGGUCGGGUCCUACCUUCUGGCGAAGCGUCACGGCCUUAACCGGCCCGUGGCGGGGAACCAGGACUUUUACUGUGAAAAAUUAGAGUGUUCAAAGCAGGCAAUUUCGCUUGGAUACAUUAGCAUGGAAUAAUGGAAUAGGACAAUGGUUCUAUUUGUUGGUUUCUAGGACUGUUGUAAUGAUUAAUAGGGAUAGUUGGGGGCAUUAGUAUUCAAUUGUCAGAGGUGAAAAUUCUUGGAUUUAUUGAAGACUAACUACUGCGAAAGCAUUUGCCAAGGAUGUUUUCAUUAAUCAAGAACGAAGUUAGGGGAUCGAAGACGAUCAGAUACCGUCGUAGUCUUAACCACAAACUAUGCCGACUAGGAAUCGGGCGAUGUUGACAAAAUGACGCGCUCGGCACCUCAUG